GGACGAGACUCUGGAGAGACUCAAAGGAGCACCGAAGGGGAAAACUAAAAUUUUUAGUGAAACUCUCAGGUAAAAGAACGGAGAUUAUAUG
RNAcentral lists this non-coding RNA (91 nucleotides) under Clostridium pasteurianum. RNAcentral describes it as "Glycine sequence". It matches the Rfam family "Glycine riboswitch aptamer". From Rfam's summary of the family: This family represents the bacterial glycine riboswitch. Lineage: Bacteria; Bacillati; Bacillota; Clostridia; Eubacteriales; Clostridiaceae. RNAcentral also lists the same sequence under 1 other name. The record is from RNAcentral.